GCUUCGGAGGGCUGGGAAUGGUUGAUCUGUGGUGAAGAUCUGCCUUGGUCAUGACCUCUGCAGUGUCAAAAAUCCCACAAUGGCAUGUUGAGACGUCUGCCCACCAGCUCGUAGUGCAUAGUGGGAACUCAGCAAACACACUGGAAAGGCUGGGCAAGGGACGCACAUGUCAGCCUUAUUCACCAUGGGAAGGGACAUCGUGUACCCGGUGCAUUAACUUAACAUCCACGGGCUCUUGGGACGGGCCAGGCACCGUUCUAGGUACGGAGGAUACAGAGAUAAACCAGGUCCCAGUUCUCAUAGCACUUACCCAGAGGCAAGCAGUAAAUACACGAGCAAGAUGGCCAGAGAAAGGCAGAAAGCCCUCAAGUGUUGGAGCAGAGCCAUGAACUCCUUUCCCAAGUAACCAUUUUCCUUUUGGGAGAUAGUUCUCGGCUUGCUACUGGGUUUUGUUGUUGUUUCUAAGCUGAAGUAGGAAAGAAGGGUUGAUGGAAACCAUGGACUACUCUUCCUUGGUUUUGAGAAAUCCCCAUCCUCUGAACUCACAGCUCCCCGGUGUGGGAUCAGGUAAGUUCCUGGUCUCGCCUGCAGGUGGAGCAGAGCAUGUGACCCAAGAUGCCACCAAUGAGAGGCACGUGCAUGACACUAAGGGACACUGAGAAGCAGGUGCAAAGGAAUCUUCUCUGGAGAAUCCAGCAGAUCCAUCUGGCUCCCAGAGGUGACGGUAGCAGGCAUCCCAACGGUGGUCUCUGCCCACCCAGGCAACAGCGGUGUGUGUGUGUGCAGUGGGGCUCCUACAAGGAAUGAUCCCCACAAAUGACCCCCAAGCCUGGUUCUCUGCCCUCCCUGACGAUUUCUGAGGUGCUUACUAUCCUGUAAUAAGUUCCUCUUCAGCUUAAACUAGCCAGAAAGGAGUCUGUUGCUUAGAAGUCAGGGCUCGCAUUGGCACGUGAAGGGAGAAGGGCAAUAACCUGAUACAGGAGGACAAGAUCAGUUCAGCUACAGGUCUGUGCUAUGCUGGGAAGAAGUUAGCACAGGGUGAUGUGAUGGGCCUCUCCGAUGGAACCGAAGGAAAAAAUGUAGCCCGACAGCAUGACAUCGGUACUGACUGCAUGUCUAAAUACAUCCAAUCAGAAAUUAUGUAUCAUCAUUCACGCAGGAUCUACAAAUUUGUCAUAGUGGGGAGAAGAAAGCACACAAGGUGAUGUGAGACAGACACAAGCAGGGGUGGGGACUCUUUUUGACAGGGUGCUCAGGGAAGCCCAUCUGAAGAGAUGCCAUUGAGCUGAGACCUGAAAGGUAAGAGGGAACCAACCAUGCAAAGAUCUCGAAAGGAGACUUGUAGGCAGAGAGAGCAGAAAUAUGAAGGAUGAGCUUGGGAGGUUGAGGUCUGGAGGUCAGUGCAAGUGGGCCAAGGACAUGAUGAGCCUGGGAAGUAGGCAAGGGCCAGGUCACGCCAGGCCUCCCAGGCCAGGGGCAGGCCUUCGGGUUUUGUUCUGAGGAUGGUGGAAAUCCCUGAGAGGACCUCAGAGAGGGAGCAGCCUUCUGAAUGUCCCCCACCGGGCCUCACCUCCUGGUAUUUACAGCCUUGUGCAAGCGCUGCCACAAGAGAGGAUGGCUGAUCUGUGCACCCACCAGGACACUGCAGAAAGGGCGGUGGGUGACUUUCGAGGCUAGGUCAUAACAGACCGUCUGACUCUGCCUUGCUCUCUUGGAUCACUCCCUCUGGGGAAGCCAGCCACCAUAUAGUAGGGCCGCUAAAGCAGCCUUAUGGAGAGGUCCACCAGUGGGGCCCUGGGCCUCCUGCUCACAGUCCCGGGACCGAGACAGCUCAGAAGCGGAUGCUCCAGCCCCGGUCAAGCCUUUAAAUGACCAUAACUUCCUGAGACAGCCUGAGCCGGAACCACCCAGCUAAGCAGCUUCAAAUUCCUGACCCUCUCAGAUUCCCCGGAGAAGACAACUGACUGGCCCUGUGGAUCCAGGGCCUGGGUAGCCCUGGCCUGGCUUCUAGAAGUGGCGGGCUGCGAGCAGACUCCAGCCUGCUGGGCUCCCCUGCGCUCAGAAAGGCCGGCGCAGGCCAGAUGCAGGGCUCGGGAGCAGAAACAAAGGCCCUGAGGAAGCCGGCGAGGAAGAGUCGGGGCUUACCAGGUCAGCCUGACCAGCAGGCGAGGACUAAGCCUCCUCUGAGCUGUGAAAGAAGCUGUGUGGUCCCAAUGCUCCCAGGAAGGACAGCUGUGCUCCGAGUGUCCCCGCUCCUCCCCUCCCCCGCAGUGGAUACCAAAGCUUGGGGCUUCUGAAUCUUCUUGUCCAAAUUUGCAGAUGUGUCACAGAAGCAGACACUCAGACCGAGGUGUCCAGGAGAGGGUGCAGAGGGAAAUGAUGAUGUUGGGUGCCGUUUAGUUGGGCACUGGGUUGUCAGUACUGGUUAAGACACAGUCCUUGCCUCAAGUUUCUCGUAGACUGGAGGGAAGGCAGAAGGCAGACGCUACAACAAAAUCAGCCCUACGGUUAAGAAAGUGAAUCUGUGGGACAAAGUACAACUCAAGCCCCAAAGAGGAAACGGACCAAAAAAGUGAACUGGUCAGCUGUCACCACAGUGCUGUGUAACAAACGACCCCAUUGUUCAGUGGCUUACCUUGUGAGCACUUACUUCUGACUCCCACAUCUGCAGAUUGCCUGGGGCAGCCCUGCCAACUUCAGCUGGACAGCUAGAUUGGCUCCUGGGCAGGGAUUUGGUUGAAGUCUGCCUUGUCUCAUUCUUUUGGACCUGGUGGG
Lutra lutra (Eurasian river otter) is the source of this 2775-nucleotide long non-coding RNA. RefSeq lists it as uncharacterized. The record is from RefSeq and is a predicted model, not a curated record. The transcript has 4 exons. Lineage: Eukaryota; Metazoa; Chordata; Mammalia; Carnivora; Mustelidae.